UCUGCUCAUUUGUUAUUUCUGAAAGUAUGAAAUGUAUUUCAAUUAACAACUAUUUAUUUAGUUUCUAUUAUGUGCCAACCACUAUAUGAGAAACUAGAUUUCUUUUAAAAAGCAAACAAAAAAGCAGUGAACAAGACAACGUAUCUGUUGUCACGAAGCCUGGAGCCUCAGAGAGGGUUUGAAGCAAUAAACAAACCACGUCAUAUCUCAAUUACAAACCGAGAUCAUUGUUGCCCCAGAAAUAAAUGGAGAGCUUGAGGUUGAACAAUGAAGGUGGGUAGAGGGCAGAGCGAGAGCCAUGUUAAGCCAAUUACAGGAGACCUUGCUGAGGAAGUGACAUUUAAGCAACACCUGAAGGAAGAAAAGGCAACAGCCAUUCAAAUUGCUGGGAAAGGAGCAUAUUUUACGCAGAAAGAACAGCAGUACAGAGGUCCUGGUGUGAAAAAGAAUGUGCCCUAAUCCGUGGGUCUGUCACUGGACACUGGCGAGCAAUGGGAAGGAACGGUGUGACAAGAGCUAGGAGGGCCAGUAUAAGUGAGGCCACGCGGGAUUUUCAGAUUGGGACGUUCUCCACGUGGAACCGGACGCUGCUGCUAACAGCAUAAUGCCAAUUGAUUUUCAUCAUUAAAAGAGCCUCGAGAGACAGGUGAAUUUUCAAAGCUUUUAAAGAAAGUAUAUAUUGAACUUAAUGUAGCCUGAUUGGCACUUUCUCCAAAGACAGUCCUGGUCACUGCAGACAACACUGGGACCUUCAAUAGUCGGAGCUGGAGGCCUUUACCAGAAAGCAGUCCUUCACCUGUAUUUUUGCUCUUUCUUUCACUCCUGAAAUCAACUUUGGUACAAGUAUGAUCCUCAGUUAUCAACCCCUAUCAUACAUCUGUAAAAUUUGGAAAUAAACAGGUGUUUAAAAUA
Molecule: long non-coding RNA, 912 nt
Organism: Suricata suricatta (meerkat)
Lineage: Eukaryota; Metazoa; Chordata; Mammalia; Carnivora; Herpestidae
Exons: 3
Source: RefSeq, a predicted model, not a curated record